RNAcentral lists this ribosomal RNA (1632 nucleotides) under Salmonella enterica. Its description in RNAcentral is "partial 23S ribosomal RNA". It matches the Rfam family "Bacterial large subunit ribosomal RNA", at positions 710 to 2238 of the family's 2925-position model. The record is from RNAcentral. Lineage: Bacteria; Pseudomonadati; Pseudomonadota; Gammaproteobacteria; Enterobacterales; Enterobacteriaceae.
UAGACCCGAAACCCGGUGAUCUAGCCAUGGGCAGGUUGAAGGUUGGGUAACACUAACUGGAGGACCGAACCGACUAAUGUUGAAAAAUUAGCGGAUGACCUGUGGCUGGGGGUGAAAGGCCAAUCAAACCGGGAGAUAGCUGGUUCUCCCCGAAAGCUAUUUAGGUAGCGCCUCGUGAAUUCAUCUCCGGGGGUAGAGCACUGUUUCGGCUAGGGGGCCAUCCCGGCUUACCAACCCGAUGCAAACUGCGAAUACCGGAGAAUGUUAUCACGGGAGACACACGGCGGGUGCUAACGUCCGUCGUGAAGAGGGAAACAACCCAGACCGCCAGCUAAGGUCCCAAAGUCAUGGUUAAGUGGGAAACGAUGUGGGAAGGCCCAGACAGCCAGGAUGUUGGCUUAGAAGCAGCCAUCAUUUAAAGAAAGCGUAAUAGCUCACUGGUCGAGUCGGCCUGCGCGGAAGAUGUAACGGGGCUAAACCAUGCACCGAAGCUGCGGCAGCGAACGUAUCACCCAAGACAACUUUACGGAGUUGACGAUUGACGGAGCGAAGCGACGUCAAAGCGUUCAUUAAAGUCGAGUUGGCUUAGGGAUACGUUCGUUGGGUAGGGGAGCGUUCUGUAAGCCUGUGAAGGUGUGUCGUGAGGCAUGCUGGAGGUAUCAGAAGUGCGAAUGCUGACAUAAGUAACGAUAAAGCGGGUGAAAAGCCCGCUCGCCGGAAGACCAAGGGUUCCUGUCCAACGUUAAUCGGGGCAGGGUGAGUCGACCCCUAAGGCGAGGCCGAAAGGCGUAGUCGAUGGGAAACGGGUUAAUAUUCCCGUACUUGGUGUUACUGCGAAGGGGGGACGGAGAAGGCUAUGUUGGCCGGGCGACGGUUGUCCCGGUUUAAGCGUGUAGGUGUGUGUUCCAGGUAAAUCCGGUUCACUUUAACACUGAGGCGUGACGACGAGGCACUACGGUGCUGAAGCAACAAAUGCCCUGCUUCCAGGAAAAGCCUCUAAGCAUCAGGUAACACGAAAUCGUACCCCAAACCGACACAGGUGGUCAGGUAGAGAAUACCAAGGCGCUUGAGAGAACUCGGGUGAAGGAACUAGGCAAAAUGGUGCCGUAACUUCGGGAGAAGGCACGCUGACACGUAGGUGAAGUGAUUUACUCAUGGAGCUGAAGUCAGUCGAAGAUACCAGCUGGCUGCAACUGUUUAUUAAAAACACAGCACUGUGCAAACACGAAAGUGGACGUAUACGGUGUGACGCCUGCCCGGUGCCGGAAGGUUAAUUGAUGGGGUCAGCGUAAGCGAAGCUCCUGAUCGAAGCCCCGGUAAACGGCGGCCGUAACUAUAACGGUCCUAAGGUAGCGAAAUUCCUUGUCGGGUAAGUUCCGACCUGCACGAAUGGCGUAAUGAUGGCCAGGCUGUCUCCACCCGAGACUCAGUGAAAUUGAACUCGCUGUGAAGAUGCAGUGUACCCGCGGCAAGACGGAAAGACCCCGUGAACCUUUACUAUAGCUUGACACUGAACAUUGAGCCUUGAUGUGUAGGAUAGGUGGGAGGCUUUGAAGUGUGGACGCCAGUCUGCAUGGAGCCGACCUUGAAAUACCACCCUUUAAUGUUUGAUGUUCUAACGUGGACCCGUAA